This is a non-coding RNA of Otolemur garnettii (small-eared galago), 114 nucleotides long. The record is from Rfam. Lineage: Eukaryota; Metazoa; Chordata; Mammalia; Primates; Galagidae.
GUAGGUUACGGGGACAUGUACCCCAUGACAGUGGGGGGCAAGAUCGUGGGCUCCCUGUGCGCCAUCGCAGGGGUCCUCACCAUUGCUCUGCCUGUGCCGGUCAUCGUCUCCAAC